GRGKGUCKKACUUACACUCCCAAACCCCAUGUGAACUUAUACCCUUUUCCUGUUGCCUCGGCGGGUCAUUUGCCCCGGACCGGGCUCGUCCAGAGCCCGCCCGGAAACAGGCGCCCGCCGCGGGACCGAAACUCUGUAUCUCUUAGCCUUUGGCACGUCUGAGUGGAAUCAUACAAAAAUGAAUCAAAACUUUCAACAACGGAUCUCUUGGUUCUGGCAUCGAUGAAGAACGCAGCGAAAUGCGAUAAGUAAUGUGAAUUGCAGAAUUCAGUGAAUCAUCGAAUCUUUGAACGCACAUUGCGCCCGCCAGUAUUCUGGCGGGCAUGCCUGUUCGAGCGUCAUUUCAACCCUCAAGCCCCCGCGGUUUGGUGUUGGGGGCCGGCGAUUGUCAGCUGGGCCGCUCAGGCGGUUCCCUGCGGCGCCGCCCCCGAAAUGAAUUGGCGGCCCCGUCGCGGCCUCCUCUGCGUAGUAGCACAACCUCGCAACAGGAGCGCGGCGCGGCCACUGCCGUAAAACGCACAAACUUCUCCAAGAGUUGACCUCGAAUCAGGUAGGAAUWCCCSCUSC
Molecule: ribosomal RNA, 567 nt
Filed under: Metarhizium rileyi
Lineage: Eukaryota; Fungi; Ascomycota; Sordariomycetes; Hypocreales; Clavicipitaceae
Description: eukaryotic LSU rRNA
Rfam family: 5.8S ribosomal RNA (bases 188-341)
Source: RNAcentral